AAAUUGAAGAGUUUGAUCAUGGCUCAGAUUGAACGCUGGCGGCAGGCCUAACACAUGCAAGUCGAACGGUAACAGGAAGCAGCUUGCUGCUUUGCUGACGAGUGGCGGACGGGUGAGUAAUGUCUGGGAAACUGCCUGAUGGAGGGGGAUAACUACUGGAAACGGUGGCUAAUACCGCAUAACGUCGCAAGACCAAAGAGGGGGACCUUCGGGCCUCUUGCCAUCAGAUGUGCCCAGAUGGGAUUAGCUAGUUGGUGAGGUAACGGCUCACCAAGGCGACGAUCCCUAGCUGGUCUGAGAGGAUGACCAGCCACACUGGAACUGAGACACGGUCCAGACUCCUACGGGAGGCAGCAGUGGGGAAUAUUGCACAAUGGGCGCAAGCCUGAUGCAGCCAUGCCGCGUGUAUGAAGAAGGCCUUAGGGUUGUAAAGUACUUUCAGCGGGGAGGAAGGUGUUGCGGUUAAUAACCGCAGCAAUUGACGUUACCCGCAGAAGAAGCACCGGCUAA
This 510-nucleotide ribosomal RNA is filed under the name Salmonella enterica. RNAcentral describes it as "bacterial SSU rRNA". It matches the Rfam family "Bacterial small subunit ribosomal RNA", at positions 1 to 500 of the family's 1533-position model. The record is from RNAcentral. Lineage: Bacteria; Pseudomonadati; Pseudomonadota; Gammaproteobacteria; Enterobacterales; Enterobacteriaceae.